UUGGGUCUCCAGCUGUGUUGGACUACAACUGCCGUCAUCCAUGACUGCUGAUCCUGCUAGCGAGGGAUGAUGGGAGUUGUAGUCUAACAACUUCUGGAGACCCAA
Non-coding RNA from Podarcis lilfordi (Lilford's wall lizard), 105 nucleotides. The record is from the annotation of a GenBank genome assembly. NCBI's taxonomy places the organism in Eukaryota, Metazoa, Chordata, Lepidosauria, Squamata, Lacertidae.